This 269-nucleotide long non-coding RNA is filed under the name Gossypium barbadense (sea-island cotton). Its description in RNAcentral is "long non-coding RNA (GBAR_LNC004331)". The record is from RNAcentral. Lineage: Eukaryota; Viridiplantae; Streptophyta; Magnoliopsida; Malvales; Malvaceae.
AAAGACGUUGGCUCGAGUUGUUGAAAGAUUAUGAGCUUGUCAUUGACUAUCACCCGGGAAAGGCUAAUGUGGUUGCGGAUGCCUUAAGUAGUAAAUCACUAUUUUCUUUACGAGCGAUGAAUGUACACUUGUCCGUUCUAUCCGACAAUGUGUUCGUGGCAGAAUUAAAGGCCAAACCAUUGUUGAUCCAUCAAAUUCGUGAAGCUCAGAAAGUCGAUGAUGAAUUGGUUGCAAAACGGGCUGAAUGUGUUCCGAAUACAGAAUCAGAG